RNAcentral lists this ribosomal RNA (421 nucleotides) under uncultured bacterium. Its description in RNAcentral is "bacterial SSU rRNA". It matches the Rfam family "Bacterial small subunit ribosomal RNA", at positions 355 to 774 of the family's 1533-position model. The record is from RNAcentral.
UAAGGAAUAUUGGUCAAUGGACGCAAGUCUGAACCAGCCAUGCCGCGUGAAGGAUGAAGGUCCUCUGGAUUGUAAACUUCUUUUAUCUGGGACGAAAACGGGAUUUUUAUCUCAAUUGACGGUACCAGAGGAAUAAGCACCGGCUAACUCCGUGCCAGCAGCCGCGGUAAUACGGAGGGUGCGAGCGUUAUCCGGAUUUACUGGGUUUAAAGGGUGCGUAGGUGGGCUUAUAAGUCAGUGGUGAAAUCUCCGAGCUUAACUUGGAAACUGCCGUCGAUACUAUAGGUCUUGAAUUAUCUGGAGGUAAGCGGAAUAUGUCAUGUAGCGGUGAAAUGCUUAGAUAUGACAUAGAACACCAAUUGCGAAGGCAGCUUACUACAUAUAAAUUGACGCUGAGGCACGAAAGCGUGGGGAUCAAGCA